Mastomys coucha (southern multimammate mouse) is the source of this 144-nucleotide small nucleolar RNA. RefSeq annotates it as small nucleolar RNA SNORA48. The record is from RefSeq and is a predicted model, not a curated record. The transcript has a single exon. Lineage: Eukaryota; Metazoa; Chordata; Mammalia; Rodentia; Muridae.
CACCCCUGGCAAUGGGCAAAGAAACACCUUGUUGGUGGUGUUGCUCUUAUAUCAGUCAGGGGUAAGACAAUUGAUAGUCCGUUGUUCAUCCUAUCUUGAUACCUAACUUGGUUGCCAAAGCUGUUUUAUGCCUAGGACUCAUAA